CCUACGGGUGGCAGCAGUGGGGAAUAUUGGGCAAUGGGCGCAAGCCUGACCCAGCCACGCCGCGUGAAGGAAGAAGGCCUUCUGGGUGUAAACUUCUUUUGACAGGGAAGAGUAGCAGACUGUACCUGUCUAAUCUGCUACGCCUCACUACGUGAGAGCAGCCGGGGUAAUACGUAGGUGGCAAGCGUUGUCCGGAUUUACGGGGUGUAAAGGGCGUGUAGCCGGGGUGACAAGUCAGAGGUAAACUCCUGCGGCUUAACCGGAGAAGUGCAUUUGAAACUGGCGAUCUUGAGUACUGUAGAGGUAGACGGAAUUCCUGGUGUAGCGGUGAAAUGCGUAGAUAUCAGGAGGAACACC
Molecule: ribosomal RNA, 357 nt
Filed under: uncultured bacterium
Lineage: Bacteria
Description: partial 16S ribosomal RNA
Rfam family: Bacterial small subunit ribosomal RNA
Source: RNAcentral